GACGAACCGUGCGAACGUUAUUCGGAUUCACUGGGCUUAAAGGGCGCGUAGGCGGCUGCUCAAGUCGGGGGUGAAAUCUUUCAGCUCAACUGGAAAAUAGCCUUCGAUACUGGGUGGCUUGAGGGAGAUAGGGGUGCGCGGAACUUCCGGUGGAGCGGUGAAAUGCGUAGAUAUCGGAAGGAACGCCGGUGGCGAAAGCGGUGCACUGGAUCUUCACUGACGCUGAGGCGCGAAAGCCAGGGGAGCAAACGGG
RNAcentral lists this ribosomal RNA (253 nucleotides) under uncultured bacterium. Its description in RNAcentral is "partial 16S ribosomal RNA". It matches the Rfam family "Bacterial small subunit ribosomal RNA", at positions 524 to 776 of the family's 1533-position model. The record is from RNAcentral.